AUGAACGCUGGCGGCGUGCCUAAUACAUGCAAGUCGAGCGAACAGAUGAGGAGCUUGCUCCUCUGACGUUAGCGGCGGACGGGUGAGUAACACGUGGAUAACCUACCUAUAAGACUGGGAUAACUUCGGGAAACCGGAGCUAAUACCGGAUAAUAUAUUGAACCGCAUGGUUCAAUAGUGAAAGACGGUUUUGCUGUCACUUAUAGAUGGAUCCGCGCCGCAUUAGCUAGUUGGUAAGGUAACGGCUUACCAAGGCAACGAUGCGUAGCCGACCUGAGAGGGUGAUCGGCCACACUGGAACUGAGACACGGUCCAGACUCCGACGGGAGGCAGCAGUAGGGAAUCUUCCGCAAUGGGCGAAAGCCUGACGGAGCAACGCCGCGUGAGUGAUGAAGGUCUUCGGAUCGUAAAACUCUGUUAUUAGGGAAGAACAAAUGUGUAAGUAACUAUGCACGUCUUGACGGUACCUAAUCAGAAAGCCACGGCUAACUACGU
This 495-nucleotide ribosomal RNA is filed under the name uncultured bacterium. RNAcentral describes it as "partial 16S ribosomal RNA". It matches the Rfam family "Bacterial small subunit ribosomal RNA", at positions 29 to 506 of the family's 1533-position model. The record is from RNAcentral.